GAUGAAGAACGCAGCUAAAUGCGAUAAGUAGUGUGAAUUGCAGAAUUCAGUGAAUCAUCGAAUCUUUGAACGCACAUUGCGCCCCUUGGUAUUCCAUGGGGCAUGCCUGUUCGAGCGUCAUUUGUACCUUCAAGCUUUGCUUGGUGUUGGGUGUUUGUCCUGAGGGACUCGCCUUAAAGUGAUUGGCAGCCAGUGUUUGGUUUUGAAGCGCAGCACAAGUCGCGAUUCAAAGCUAUACGCCCGCUUCCACAAGCCUUUUUCACUUUUGACCUCGGAUCAGGUAGGGAUACCCGCUGAACUUAAGCAUAUCAAUAAGCGGAGGA
RNAcentral lists this unclassified non-coding RNA (323 nucleotides) under soil metagenome. Its description in RNAcentral is "partial contains 5.8S ribosomal RNA, internal transcribed spacer 2, and large subunit ribosomal RNA". The stretch from base 1 to 120 matches the Rfam family "5.8S ribosomal RNA", at positions 35 to 154 of the family's 154-position model. The record is from RNAcentral.